Cololabis saira (Pacific saury) is the source of this 458-nucleotide long non-coding RNA. RefSeq lists it as uncharacterized. The record is from RefSeq and is a predicted model, not a curated record. NCBI's taxonomy places the organism in Eukaryota, Metazoa, Chordata, Actinopteri, Beloniformes, Belonidae. The transcript is spliced from 3 exons.
UGAUUUUGUGCCCUCUAUUUUUUCAUACACUAAACAAAACCAAAACCCCGAUGCAAAGAUCAAAAGGUACCAAAGAAAAAAGAAAUGGAGUGAAAGACUUCUGGUUGCUCCACCAAAUCAACCUGCUCCUGCUCCUGGAGCUCCAGAGGAAUCACCAGCAUGGAUCACAGUCCUACUGAAGAGGACAUCCCAGUCACGAGGACAGAAUACAAUGACCUGAACCUGAGGUACACCGAGCUGAAGAGUGACCACGUCAACCUGCAGGAAAAGUAUCAACAGCUGCGAGAUGAAAAUGAGAGACUUAAAGAGGAGCUGAAGAAGUCUACAUUUUCAUACUCAAAUAUUAAGUGCAACAUGGUACAACUGUUGUUUAUCACUGGAAUAACAUCUGUGCUCUUUGACUGGUUGUGCACCAAAAUUGCAGGAAGUGUAAAAAUAUUCAGCAAGAAGCUCUCUCU